AAAAAUUGCAUGUGCCGUAUGAGUGGGACUAUAUUAACAGUUCAUAAUUUCAUUUUUAUUUUCUGCUGUGUUUUCCAGAUUUUCUUCAAAGAACGUGCAUCACCUGCAUAAUCAGAAAAACCUGAAGACAGAACGAGAGAUUUUAACAGGAGAUGGGUGACUACCCCACCCCGGUCUGCAUAAACGGAUGUCAUAUUUGGUGGUUGCUGGUGCUGCUGUUUGUCAGGACGACUGGAGGAAAUAUGGAAAGAGAGGGAAAUGGAGGAGAGCAGGAAAUGAAAGCAUUGGCCUUGUGCAAUAGUUCGCCCCAUGCUGUGUCUCAGUUUUCCAGAUGAAGAACUGAGGUGAAGGUAUGUCGAGCUGUGUGUUGUGUACCUGGAGUAUUUGCAUGUUGAAAGAGGGUGUUACUUUAGAAAGAGGUGAAUCACAGGGUGGGAUUUCUAACAACAAUGGAAGAGAGCUUAUCUCUUUCAUAUACCAAGAAGCCUAGUCCUGUCAACCAAUGUCAUGCUCUUCUUA
Molecule: long non-coding RNA, 519 nt
Filed under: Ursus maritimus (polar bear)
Lineage: Eukaryota; Metazoa; Chordata; Mammalia; Carnivora; Ursidae
Description: lncRNA (ENSUMAG00000002834.1)
Source: RNAcentral